UUGAACGCUGGCGGCAUGCCUUACACAUGCAAGUCGAACGGUAACAGGUCUUCGGAUGCUGACGAGUGGCGAACGGGUGAGUAAUACAUCGGAACGUGCCCGAGAGUGGGGGAUAACGGAGCGAAAGCUUUGCUAAUACCGCAUACGAUCUACGGAUGAAAGCAGGGGACCCUCGGGCCUUGCGCGAACGGAGCGGCCGAUGGCAGAUUAGGUAGUUGGUGGGAUAAAAGCUUACCAAGCCGACGAUCUGUAGCUGGUCUGAGAGGACGACCAGCCACACUGGGACUGAGACACGGCCCAGACUCCUACGGGAGGCAGCAGUGGGGAAUUUUGGACAAUGGGGGAAACCCUGAUCCAGCCAUUCCGCGUGAGUGAAGAAGGCCUUCGGGUUGUAAAGCUCUUUCGGCAGGAACGAAACGGUAAGGGCUAAUAUCCUUUGCUAAUGACGGUACCUGAAGAAGAAGCACCGGCUAACUACGU
Molecule: ribosomal RNA, 480 nt
Filed under: uncultured bacterium
Lineage: Bacteria
Description: bacterial SSU rRNA
Rfam family: Bacterial small subunit ribosomal RNA
Source: RNAcentral